Non-coding RNA from Salmo salar (Atlantic salmon), 5793 nucleotides. Lineage: Eukaryota; Metazoa; Chordata; Actinopteri; Salmoniformes; Salmonidae. The record is from RefSeq and is a predicted model, not a curated record.
UUUUUCCAAACUGCCGUCUGAGGGGACUGAGCAAUGGAGGAUGGAGGCAGGGCCAUGUCAUACCACAUCAUCAUACCACAUCCUGCCUCACCCUCCAACCUGCACCUUAUGGCUCUGUUGGCGUGGUAAUCAAAACGGACCGUUUCCUCUUGUCAACUUCGAAUGGGUGGCUUCUGGUUCGAGGUAUCCCAUGGGGCCAUAGGGCAGGGUGCGAUAAUGAGUGUUGCUGCAGAAGAGGAAAUUACGAGUAAAGGGGAAGAGGCAGUGAGAUGAGAAAGCUGGACAAUUAGACAUGAUGAGAUUGACUCUGAUUUCCCUCGCCAUGUGCCUUCCUCACCUCCUCGCCACUCUUGUCUUCCAUUCUACCACUGCGGCUUCACCAAGCGCCACAGAAACAACAACAACAGCUCUAGACCUUAGUAUCAGCACUACAACAUCAGACCCCCUGAUAAUUCCACUCUCCACAACUGAAAACCACCCUGGUAGGACUAGUGGCAUGUUCAACACACAAGUGAAGAAAAGCGCUAGCUUAGCAGCUGUCAACAACUCAGGCAGAACGACUCAAGGAAGAGGCAUUCUCAGAACAGGAACUGCCACUUACGCCACCACAGCUGUACAGAAGAGCAACAGGCACAUAACUGCAGGAGACUUGAGGAGGGAAACAGAGAGCCACAAUCACCAUGAGACUCUUCCCUUCAGCAGACACACAGCCUCACCCACAACUGACCACCCCAGCACCACCUCUCUCCCCGGGGAGGAAGGGACUGAGUAUCAUGACAGCAGCACCACUGAAACAGCCAGAGAACUGAGCACACCAAAUUCCAUAGAGACAUGGGCUGCUGACACCAUUAAUGACUCCAGGCUAGCGAAGCCACACUUAGACAGGUCACAAGCAGCAGACCAGCACCCUGCUACACAAGGACUAGAGAUUGCAUCAGGAGAUUACUACACAACACAGAGAGACUUCUUCACAAUCACCCCAACUAGUAGAGUGACAGGUUUGAACAGAGGUAAACAAAGUAAGGCCAACAGCGUCACAACAACAACAACAACGGUUUCACCUACGUACACAGUCACACGUCCUGGUUUGUAUGAGCACAUGACUGUGACUUACUGGGCUACCGGCUACAAAACACAACCUGACGACACAAGCCAGUCUAUGGACAACCAGGACCACGCCACCAUUUCAAUCCCCCAUGCUGACAAUAGGACAACUCCAUAUAUCAAUGCAAACACGUUUACAGAUAAUGACACAGACAACGACACAAACACACUUUCACACAGUAAUACCACAACCUCUAAUAAUCGUAACACAACAGUACUUUUGAAGGAGAAAACUCAUUCAUUCAGACACAACCACACAAUCUCAGGUUAUGACAACAGGCUGAACAACACAACUGAAAACACUGUGCAUGAUCGUCCUGAGUGCGGAGAGGCAGAUGAAAGGUCCCUGUCGUUGCUUCCUGGCUCUUCUAGACUGGUCUGUUUCAUUGUUCUGUGGGCUCUGGGAUUGACUGCUUCGGUCUUCCUCGGUCUCACUGUCUUCCUGUGGGUGCGUUUGUCAGUCCAGAGAGAGAGGGGAAGGAGAGUGAGGAGAGGAGGAGAGAAUGUGUCAGGGGUGGAUCUGGAGAACCUGUGGGUCGACCAGAUGUCGUCGGUGGAGGAAAGGGUUGAAUUCUGGUACACCAACGGCUCCACCAUGGGACCCGACCAUAAACGGAGGGAGAGAGAGAGAGAGAGGGUGAAGGAGAGGGGGAGGAGGGAGCAGGGGAGGCAGAAAGGGAUAGAGUGUGACAACCUGUGGACUCAACCCAAAGUGACACUGGAGGACAUCACUGAUUUCUGGUAUGCAAAUGGAAGAGCGAUACCAGAAGAAACUACAGACCAAACGCUGUUGGAGACCUGCGUAUGAUUCUGUUUUUUGUACUACAGUACUACAAUUUACCUGGAAUUACUUUGGAGAGAAAUGUUCAUCAUUAUUUUACCAAUUCCAUGGCAGAUUUGAACACUGUAAUCCUGACCAAGUUUAAACAUUUCCAAAAUGAAUUGAUAAUCUGUAUGUUUAUUGGCUGUAACAAAAGUAUAAGUAUGUGAUCUACAUAAGUCUACGGAAAGAUAGAUUAAGGCUGGGUCUGAUCAGAGAGAAAGAAGAGGACAGAGAGAGAGGAAUAGAGAGAGAGAUCAGAACAAUGUCUAACUGGAAAUAACACUUGAUAAGAGAGUUCCCAUUUUAAGACAAUUCAGACCUUGUUAGAGACACAUCAUCAUCGUGUGUCAGACAGCAACGAGGAGAUAGGUGCCAUUUCUACAAACACACUGACACAAAUACGGUUGACUCCUAAUACUGUACAUGCACUGUUAUUAGGAGCUAGUCAAAUAAAAAGGACUGCACUGGGCGUAAACAACUUAGUUUCAUUUACCUGACUGACCAUGUUUACACGCGCACAGCAUUCCAGAUAAUAGCUCAUAACCUAGUUAAGGUCUUAUUCGAGAUAAGCUGUUAAAAUACAUCUUUGAUAUCCCGCUUACGAGUAUCCCUGUAUAAACAGAAUAUUCCUAAAUUUACCCAUGAUACUAUGCAAAACUGAGCUUGUACAAACAAUGUAAAACAACAGUAAACGGAAUAAUAUAUUUGUAUGACACAGUAUCCCGUCUACAAUCAGCAUAUCCCAGGCAUUUUAACUGGGUUUCUCAUAACCGGGACACAAGCUUAUUCGGGUUAUUGUAAACGGGAUAUGAUGCUAAUAUGCGGCAACUAAAAAACGGAAUACUAGAAUAUCCCAAAUAGUAACGGAAUAUCGGUGUGCCUGUGAACAUGGUGACCUAUCAGGAAUUGACUAUAGGUCUACCUCACAAUUGAUAGUGGAUCGGCCAUUUGAUCAAUAAUGUAUAACUGUAAAUACAGUAGAAAAUAUACCCUUGUAGAAUUUAACACCUAACCAGCUGAAGUUUGACAUAUAAUGUCCCAAGACAUGAGAUUUUUUUUUUUUAUUACAUUAUAAAACAGAAUUUUCAUCAUACUCUCUCUACUUUGAAUUCUCAUGUUUUGACAACCUAUGCCCUUUGACUGCCUGCUCCCCACACACACGCACACACACCGUCAAACAAACACACAUCCAAGUAGGCCUGUGUGUACGUGUGCAAACACACUCUGGCUCAAACAUUUCAACACACACACACAGCUUCUUCUCUUUGUAGGACCAACUUCUCCUUUUUCAUCAAGAAAAUAAGCACAUGACGCAAUAAACAAAAUGAAGCUACUCUUAAGUUAUUUGGCACCUCUCUAACCCCACCACUUUCGCAGUUAACAAAACUGUUUUACGAAGAAUUUGAUACUCUGAGGGGAAGAGAUAGAGAGAACCAACUAGAGAGAGAAAGGGAGGGGAGAGAAAGAAGGGAGUGAACAGGAGGGAGGGAGGGAGGGAGCGAGCGAGCGAGAAAGGUGUUUUGGACAUGUACUAGUGCACGAGAUGUCAUUCACACAGUACAGGAGUUAAAGCAUGUGCCUUUAAGGUGGAUUCAUAAUUUCAAUCCAAUCGUUUUCUCCAAGCAACAUGUGGGUGUGUACUAAGCAAGCAUUUUACAUCUACAGCGGUUCAGACAGUGGAUGCUGUGAGGAGGUCUCGUGCUUUUUUUGGUUCACCGUUGCUGCAAUCUCUCACGCUACACUUGAAAUAGACAGCUGAUACAGAAAAGUAAAGUGAAGUGCAGGGGAGUAGGAGGAAAGCUGAAGUGCGCGAGAGGAAGAGAAGGGUUGUGUCUUUCCGGUCUAUUUGCACCUAAAUACACCCUAGUGAACAACAAGCCCAGCAACCAGGAGAGACAGCAAGAGAACACAAGUUUGACUAUGUAAGUGCACUUCAUAUGCCUAACACUCAGUCAAACCUUUGUUAAUAAUCUAAGGCAUGGCCUGAAAGAAAGGGAAAUUCCGAGAGCAGUGAAGAUCAAAGCCUGACACACAAUCGUUGUCAAACCAAGAACCCCGGUACCUGAUGACGGAUACCGCUUUUCUUUUCUAGAAUGUACAUUUUUCUGCUCUAGACUUGUAAAACAAACCUCCAAUACCUUUCAAGCCACAACGCUGUCGCUGAUGCACCUCAGAAAGAGGAAGACAAACGUAAUCUGAGAGAUCAGCAAAACCCUUCAGGGACGGUUGACCUCUGUGACCCCUCUCACUUCUUGCCCAGUAUGGAGCGGAUACAGCUGAUGCUUGGGGCUCUGCUCCUCUCCCUCUCUCUGCCCAGUCUCCCUGCCCAAGAUAAUGUCACCGUCACUGUACCUGAGAAUGUCACCAUGGCAGCACCUAUUAAUGAGGAAGUCACGAUGGCAGCCUCUACACCGGAGGCCACCAUAGAGACAACGCCUGCUCCUGUGGUCAUCACUAGGGCACAGCCUGCCCCUGAAAUCAUCACCCCGGUAACUGCUAUUCCGAAAGUAACUUCUGUUUUAGUACGUACCACUGAUGCCAUCACUAUGGUAAUAACAAACCCUGAGAUCACCAUCGUUCAGGAGUCCACCUCUGAUGCACCAACUACUACUUCAGAGGUUGAAACGAUGACACCUUCCCCUGUGACCACUGAAGGGCCUAUAGAUACGACCAAUCCACCUGGUCCUAAACCCACCCUCUCCCAAGACGUCCUUAUGACCGCCUCUUAUCUCCCAACCCCUUCCCAGGACCACCUGACAUUUGUUAUCCCAGUCUGGCCCCUCCAAACCACCCCUCAUCUGACGGAGGACUCCACUUACACACCUGAACCUACACCUGCCUCAGAGAUUACUGCCUACCACACAGAGGGACUUACCACUGCACCCACCUCCCCAUUGGUCAAUCCCCCUCCCGGCCAUGCCACGACCCCCGCUACCACCCACACCUCCACAGAUCCAGACUCUACGGUGGCUGGGGUCAGGGUGAAGACAGGUCAGCCCAGCUUGUUAUGGGUCAUCAUCGUUGCUCUCCUGAUCGUGGUUAUAUUCGCGGGCGGGUUCUACUGUGUUUGUCUGGUCAUCAGACGAAAGAGGCAGAGCCACACCGAGUACUUUGUGUCCAGCUUCCGGAACGGGAAGAGUUCCAAGCGGAAGAAAGGGGCGGAGGAAGACGCCUGGGCAGGGCCAGUGAAGCUAGGGCGUGGGGAUGGGGAGGAGGAUGAGGGUGGGGAGGAGGGAGGGAGCCCAGAGGACAACAAGAGAGAGGGGGCUGGAACGGAUGUGGUGCUGAGCACAUUCAUAGCCAACGAGACUGAGGGAGAGAGGGGUGGGCCUGAUGGGGGAGUAGGAGUGGCUGGGAGCAAGGAGGCAGAGAAAUGGGAGGAGAAGGAGCCUCUGCUGUACAUUGAUGAGGGAGUGGAGGAGGGGCAAGAGAGGAUGGCUCUUCCUUCACUUUCAAAAUCGAACUGAGAAAAGACAGGAGGGGAAAAAAGAGAGGGGGAAAGUGAAAAAGAAAUGGAGAGGGGAGAAGGGAAUGGAAAGAAAGAAAAUUAGAGUGAGAGGUAAGAAGAAUGGAGGAGCGGCAUUCUGUCUAACCACUGCAGUUUAAAAAUAGAAGAGUUUUCCAUAAAAAGAUUUUCUAGGUGAUAAUGUAAAAGUUAAAAAUAUUUUUGUACUACUGAAAAGGCCUUUGACAUUGUAUGUAUCUGUGAUUGUGUGCUCUGUCAACAUAACUCAGGGAAGAUAGGAGUGGUUGUGUGCAUGGUCAUAAGUUUUACCCUUGGUAUUUUGUAUGCUGUUUUGUCUUAAUGUUUUUUUGUUAAAUAAAGUUUUAGAUGUGCAGAGUGCAUGUUCUAGAAUGAAGUUGUU